UACGUAGGGUGCAAGCGUUAAUCGGAAUUACUGGGCGUAAAGCGUGCGCAGGCGGUCUUGCAAGACAGAUGUGAAAUCCCCGGGCUUAACCUGGGAACUGCAUUUGUGACUGCAAGGCUGGAGUACGGCAGAGGGGGAUGGAAUUCCGCGUGUAGCAGUGAAAUGCGUAGAUAUCUGGAGGAACACCGGUGGCGAAGGCGGCAUCCUGGACCAACACUGACGCUGAGGAGCGAAAGCCAGGGGAGCAAACGGG
RNAcentral lists this ribosomal RNA (253 nucleotides) under uncultured bacterium. Its description in RNAcentral is "partial 16S ribosomal RNA". It matches the Rfam family "Bacterial small subunit ribosomal RNA", at positions 524 to 776 of the family's 1533-position model. The record is from RNAcentral.